This 494-nucleotide ribosomal RNA is filed under the name uncultured bacterium. RNAcentral's name for it is "partial 16S ribosomal RNA". It matches the Rfam family "Bacterial small subunit ribosomal RNA", at positions 28 to 507 of the family's 1533-position model. The record is from RNAcentral.
GACGAACGCUGGCGGCGUGCUUAACACAUGCAAGUCGAACGGUGAAGCGCCUUCCUUUUUGGUGGGUGUGGAUGAGUGGCGAACGGGUGAGUAACACGUGAGUAACCUGCCCCCUUCUUCUGGAUAACCGCAUGAAAGUGUGGCUAAUACGGGAUAUUCUGAGUCUGUCGCAUGAUGGGUCUGGGAAAGAUAUUGUUUCGGUGGGGGAUGGGCUCGCGGCCUAUCAGCUUGUUGGUGGGGUGAUGGCCUACCAAGGCGGUGACGGGUAGCCGGCCUGAGAGGGUGGACGGUCACACUGGGACUGAGACACGGCCCAGACUCCUACGGGAGGCAGCAGUGGGGAAUAUUGCACAAUGGGCGCAAGCCUGAUGCAGCGACGCCGCGGGAGGGAUGGAGGCCUUCGGGUUGUGAACCUCUUUCGCCAGUGAAGCAGGCCUGCCUCGUUUGUGGGUGGGUUGACGGUAGCUGGAUAAGAAGCGCCGGCUAACUACGUG